AUUAAAACGAUGAAUAGAAUUAGUAAUUUUAAUUAAGUUAUUAAAGCGAGUUUAGGAAUGGUGAAAGCUAAACAUAACUAUUAAGAUGAAUGGAUCUAUGAGUGGCAUUAAUACUGCCCGCUUCCCGCGUUAAAAGGAUUAGUGCUAGAGAAAUCUAGAAUUAAGGUGGUACCACGGAUUAUAAACGUUCGUCCUUUAC
Molecule: non-coding RNA, 199 nt
Filed under: Mollicutes bacterium
Lineage: Bacteria; Bacillati; Mycoplasmatota; Mollicutes
Description: T-box sequence
Rfam family: T-box leader
About the family: Uncharged tRNA acts as the effector for transcription antitermination of genes in the T-box leader family.
Source: RNAcentral